This 6099-nucleotide long non-coding RNA is filed under the name Gossypium barbadense (sea-island cotton). RNAcentral describes it as "long non-coding RNA (GBAR_LNC012975)". Lineage: Eukaryota; Viridiplantae; Streptophyta; Magnoliopsida; Malvales; Malvaceae. The record is from RNAcentral.
GGCUUUUAUGCCCCCCAUUCAUUUUCUCACUCAAAUACCCCUUCACCGCAUGUAACCCUUGCUCGAACACCUCCGCCGGUGGUGAAACCAAAGGGUUCCCUUCCACGCUAAGCUUCUGGAGCUUCUUCAUGCAGCCCAUUGAAUCGGGUAAGGUGGUUAUCUUGUUGUAGCUGACGUCCAGUUCCAAGAGUGAAAUGAGGAGGCCGAUGGAGUAGGGUAGGUUUUGGAGGUACUGGAAGUUUUGGCUAACGUUGAGGAUUUGUAAGUUGAUUAAGUUCUCCAAGUCCUCAGGGAGGGCUCGGAGGCAAUUGAGGCGGGCGUCGAGGACUCGUAGGGAAGUGAGGUGAGUGAUGGAUCGAGGGAGGAAUAUCAACUUGUUUGAGUUCACUGCGAGCUUCUUCAGGUUUAUGAGCUCGAAUCCAAUAGUUUCUGGCAGCUUUGUGAGCUUGUUGAAGUUGGCAUUCAGUUCUUCUAAUGACCUGCCAAAUAUGCAACCGACUUAACUUUUUUUCUUUUUGCAGCUUAACAAUUAGUUCCAUAUUGCAGCACUGUUGACAUUAUAGGUGAAAUGUUCAGGGUCAUGCAUAUGUAUAUUAUUUUCAUUCAAAAUUUAUAUCGCGUAAUUAGUUAUGUACUAUGAUUUAAAUGAAAGUGAUUCAUUCAUAUUAGUCAUUUUAAUAUCCUGUCAAUACUAGUAGAAUAUAUAUAUAUAAAUAAGGUAAAAAAAUAAACCUGCAAUUUUCAAUGGUUUUAGGGAGAGACUGGAGAAGGUUGCCGGAGACGUUGAGUGUCUUGAGCUUAGAGAGACAGCCGAUGGAGUUUGGGAGAAACUUGAGCUGAUUUGAGUGCACAUCCAACGCCACCACAUUCAGUAACCUUGCCGUCAACGAUUCUGGUAUGCUCUGUAAUUACAUCAUGUCAAUAUUUUUAAUUUUAAAAAGCAAUCAUUCAUGGGUAAAAGUAUCUUAUUCUACUCUUAUUCAAAUUACAUUUUACCCUAUUAUAAAUAAAAUAGAUAAAUUGAUUUUUCUUGAAUUUUUUAUUAAAAUUUUUUUAUAUUUUUAUAAUUAAAAAUUAAUGUGACGAAUAAAAUAAUUAAAUAAUUGCAUAUGAUAUUUAAACAUACUAAGAUCAAUUUUUAACAAUGAAAAUAGAUUAAAUUUUUAACAUAAGGAUUAAUUUAUUAUUUAAUUUAAUAUAUAAGAAUUAAUUUAUCUAUUUUUUAAAUAAAAUUUAACUCUUAAUAUAAAAAUUUUCUACUAUAUUUUUACCAUAAUUUAUUUUAUAUAUUUAAAUCAAAAUAAAAAGCCGUACUCCGAUACUUCACAAUUUCGUACUCCGAUUCUUCACAAGUGUGACCCAGACUUCAUUUCUCAUAAAAAAUUAUAAAAUGGCUAUGACAACGUCAGAUUUACAUCCUUAUCACUUCAUGAAAUUGUUGACUUUUAGCAUAUGAUCGGUGCAAAAUAUAUUUUUAAUAUUAUAAUUAUUUAAAAUGUAUGCGGCUGAUUUUAUUAAUAUUUAUUAUUUUUUAAAAUAUAAGUCAAUAUUUUAAAAAUAAAAACUAUUUAAAUAUAUUUUAUCCCAUGUUGAUGUUGUUCAAGAAUAGUUUUUCUCUUAACACCAAUCAUAACAUCUUCUUGAAAUAGGUAUUAAUGUAUGUACAUAAAUAAUAUCAUUAUGAUUUUUUUAUCAUUAAAUAAAUUAAUGUAAAAUUUUAGGUCAAUUUUUUAUGCCUCAAGUUCGAUUCGAUCUAAAAAUUAAAUUUAAAAUUUUAUCUAAAUUCGGUCCAAAUAAAAAAAUUAAACCAGAGCCCGAUGUAGUCCAACCAUCCAUAAUAAUAUUUUUAAAAUUAUUUUUAUAUAAAAAUAAAUUUAAAAAAUAUAAUAUAUUAAAUAUACCAAAUACAUUAAAAUAAAAUUCUCUUAGCAAAAUGAAAAUAUAUUUAAAAAGCAUACAUGUGAUUCAGGCCUAAUCUAGGCAAAAAAAAAAUUCAACAUGACCUAAUCCAUUUUAGUAAACCCUUCUAUUUUUUAAGCGAGCCUUUGGAACCUGAUAGAUAAUCCUGUUGAUGAUAAAAUCUACUUAUAUAUAGUAAUAAUAAUAAAUAAGGCGGCUAACUGUUAGCGGUCGAAGAUACCGUCUUUAAAAAUUUCGUUGAUUAAAGUAGUUUAACACCAUCGAGAUAAAAUUAUAAAACUUUAUGUUUUAGAAAAAUUAAAUUGAAUUAUUAGUUUUUUUAGAAAAUACUUAAAUACAAAUUAUUCAUUUAAUCAUGACCAAGAGGCUAUAACCAUAACCUAUCCUAAUUACGCUCCUUCUAAAUAGUGAUGAAAACACGACGGAACAGUUUUAGGUCAAAAAUUUAAAUUUUAUAUUAAAAACAUAAAUUGAAUUAUUAAUUUUUGAUUAAAAUAUAAAUUAUUUGUUAAAAGGAAAUUUUCUCCUUUUGCUAAGGGGCUAAAGCCAUUAUCUUCAUCCUAAUACUUGAAUCCAAUAUCAAAAUUGAAAAAAAUCUCCAAAUCCCACUUGACAAGUCACGAAAUAUUAUAUUAAUUUUACAAGAUUAAAUAUAAAAAUAAUUAAAAUGUUAUAAAAGUUAAAACAAAUUCUAACAAAAAUAUGAAAAAUUACUCAUAAAAUUUUUACCAAAAAGUUAUAAAAUUUAAAGGAAAAUAUUUGUUUUUAUAAAUUUUUGGAGUGAGAUGGUGCGAGUUUCAUCCAUAUCAUACUCUCAAACUCAAAUUUAAAAAAAAAAAUCGUUAAAUUGAGUUAAAAACUUGUUAAAUGUAGAUUAUUUUGUCAUUCUAAAAAAGUAAGACAAGUCUACUAAAUAUUUAUUGAUACAUAUGAUCAUAAGUAAAAUAAGGUGUGUCUAGUCUCCUCCCCAAAAAGAGUCCUUAAAAUCGUAUAAAAGUGGGUCAGAUUUCGGGUUGAAUGUCAAGUCUAAUCAUUAUUUAAUUAUAACUGUAUAACAAUACUACUAGGAAGCUACAGGAUUAACUCCAAAACAUACAUGCAUAUAGGGAGAGAGAAAGAUGAGAUGUAUACCUGAAGAUUAUUAUUGGAGAGGUUUAAUUUACAAAUGGUAGUCAAAUUUAGGGAAGGUUUGGGAAGAGAAUCCAAAGACAUCCCACUCAAAUCCACUAUAUUCAACCUCUCUUCAUCUUCUAUAAACCUUCUCCCACUUCUCUCAUCUCCCUUCUGAUUGUUGUUGUUCAAUUCCGCCAUUCUCAUCAUCACUUGCUGCUGCUGCUGCUGCUGCUGCUCUUCGUACAUCAUUUCCUAACAACUUUAUUAUCUAAACACCACCACAAGACUGUAAGCUGAGAGAAAAAAGGAGCAUGAAAAAUCUGAGACAAAAGAACAUAGGAAAUGGUUGGGUUUGGGGUUCUAAAAAAGGACGUACGGAGGAGCAAAAACAGUGAGAAGGAAUAGGACAAGGAGAAAGAGAUGACGGUUGUCCACAUCUCCCACGUGGAGAAAGUCAACCCCUCUCCCUUUGUUUCUCCUUGGCUGCCCUCUCAUGUCGCUCUCCUUUUUAUUUUUAUCAUUAUUCACACUCUUUAGACUAAAUCCAAUUGGGAAUUUCUUUUUAUUUUAUUUAUAGGAAAUUACGUACCAACCCAUUAUAGAAGUGGGGAUACAGAUCAUAGGCUUAUCACUAAAAUAUUCCCCCACAACCAUUUUCUUUAUAUCUAAGAUACACGGGGUUGGAUGCUUAGCAUCUUUACUAUUACUAUUGGAUUUCUACCUUUAUUAUUCAUAAAUCCAAAUUUUCAAUGUUUUUCAACCAGCCAACAGUAUCACGUAUCAUUUAAUCCAAUGUUUUUCGUUUCAUCAUUAUCUUUAAUCCAUAUAAACAUAGUUAUCCAUUAACUCUUAAUUUAAUUCAUAUCAAUUUUGUUAUCAAUAUAAAAAUAUAUAGAUUUAAAUAUAUUGAAAUAGAUUAUUCUUGACCUUCUUUUUCUUCUUUUUUUUCCAAAUACCAAGUUUUUAUAGGAAAUUACGUACCAACCCAUUAUAGAAGUGGGGAUACAGAUCAUAGGCUUAUCACUAAAAUAUUCCCCCACAACCAUUUUCUUUAUAUCUAAGAUACACGGGGUUGGAUGCUUAGCAUCUUUACUAUUACUAUUGGAUUUCUACCUUUAUUUUAUUCAUAAAUCCAAAUUUCAAUGUUUUUCAACCAGCCAACAGUAUCACGUAUCAUUUAAUCCAAUGUUUUUCGUUUCAUCAUUAUCUUUUAAUCCAUAUAAACAUAGUUAUCCAUUAACUCUUAAUUUAAUUCAUAUCAAUUUUGUUAUCAAUAUAAAAAUAUAUAGAUUUAAAUAUAUUGAAAUAGAUUAUUCUCUUGACCUUCUUUUUCUUCUUUUUUUUUCCAAAUACCAAGUUUAGACUUUUCUCCUUACUUUUUCUUUUCUCAAUUCCUUUCGUUUAUUAGUAGUUUAUAAUGUUAAUAGUAAUCAUAUUUUAUUAUGUAAAUUUUUUAAUAAAUUAUAAUUACUAUUUAAAUAAUUAUGUUAUAAAGAUAAAUUUCUGUAUAUAAAAUUGUCUCAUAAAAUAAAAUAAUCCUAUAAAAAAUAUCUUAUGGAAAUUUGUUUUUCUUAGUUUUUUUUCUUUUUUUGUUAGCUUAAUGAUUUUAUGGUCUUGGUCUUGAUGUAAUGCAAAUUAUGAACUCAUAUGUAUCUGGUUUUAUUUUUUUCUAUUGUCUACUGCCAAAUGAAAUUUGUUUCAUCUUACAAAAAAAGUUAUCUUUGAAUCUAGUAGUAGUUAUUGUUGUUGUUUUUAUUGAAAUUUUUUGCUCUUAGUAUAGUUAUUUCGUUAUUGAUGUUUUUCGAACAAAUUAGUUAAUAAAAUUUUAUAGUUAAUUUUUUUUUAUAAUUAUCUUUAUUGGAUUUUUUGAAUGAAAGGAAAAUGAACAAAGUAAAUAUUGACUCACUGAUUACUUAAGGUUUAAUUAAUAAAAGACAACUUAUAAGAAAUUAGCAAUUGAUUCAAGAGACUAUUAUGUUGUCUAUCAAGUCUAAUUUAGAAGAUAUUUUAUAUUGGGUAUCAGAACGGAUAACUCUCGAAAAGAUAGAGACAUAUGCGUGAUUGCUUGGACUAAUAAUACAUUGGAUAAAACCUGAGUUGAAUCUAUCUUACAUUCGUUUAUUGAUUUAUUCACUUGUGACAUUUAUAGUGUGACUUACCUCAAUCCUGAAAAAGUGAUUGACUAUAUGUAUACGACUCGCACACUUUAAUAUAUUAAAGGCCUGGGUUCAAUUGGUAUUAAAGUCGAAAGCUAAUAUAUUGAGUAUAUGACUUAUGGAUGGCAUGACUUCAUUUACAAUAGUAAAAUUCAUAGGUCGUUCAAAGAGUAAAUGAUAUAAUCUCACCGACAUUGCAUGGAUUAUGAAAAAGGAACGUGACCACAAGUUAUUUGUCUAGGACAAAUAAUUGUUAUUACUAUUUGUUAGUAACAAUCAUUUUCGUCAUAGAAGAUGUAAUGGUAACCAUAAGAUAAAAUAAGAUCAUAUUGGGCGAACGAAUUUUAAUCCAAAGAGAUAAGGAUAUCUUAUAAGGUAAUACACUAAUGACAAAGACAUUGAAGAAAGCAUAAAUCUAAAUUAUUUUCAUAAUUGUAUAUAAUGAGGAGUUCAAUCAUAGUAGUUUUAGUGGAUAGCUAAUUUAUUAACUAUUCCAAUUAAAACAUCAAGCAAAAUAUUUUCUUAAAAAUCCCUUCUAACACAAAAGCUUCUAUAUCAAUAUGACGAGUUAGAAUGUUGUUUUCAGAAGAAAAAAAAAAUCUAUACUGGCAUUUUAAAUGGAAUGGUUAAAAUAAUGUCAAGCUAAAAUGUAGUGGUUAAAUAUAAAAUUUGAACAUAGUAUAAGGACCAAAACCAAAAUUUGACCUAUUCUUCUAAUCCGGAAGUUGAAACUUAUAUCCUUUUCAAAAUUAUUUCUUGAAGACUAGAGUGGCAUAGAUAAGCUCAUUCCAGGCAUCAGGAACCCCUGGAAGACACCAGUGGCUGCAAUCUUCCCGCCUCAUAGAAUUCGUUUUCCCUUCUUUCAAUGCCUUCCCAUAGAUCCCUGGAUGGCCAUCUUUGCGAGAAUUGG